GCCGCGUUAGCUCAGCUGGUAGAGCAGCGCUCUUGUAAAGCGAAGGUCGUGGGUUCAAAUCCCUCACGCGGCACCA
This 76-nucleotide transfer RNA is filed under the name Amaricoccus solimangrovi. Its description in RNAcentral is "Amaricoccus sp. HB172011 tRNA-Thr". It matches the Rfam family "tRNA". Rfam says of the family: Transfer RNA (tRNA) molecules are approximately 80 nucleotides in length. Their secondary structure includes four short double-helical elements and three loops (D, anti-codon, and T loops). Further hydrogen bonds mediate the characteristic L-shaped molecular structure. tRNAs have two regions of fundamental functional importance: the anti-codon, which is responsible for specific mRNA codon recognition, and the 3' end, to which the tRNAs corresponding amino acid is attached (by aminoacyl-tRNA synthetases). tRNAs cope with the degeneracy of the genetic code in two manners: having more than one tRNA (with a specific anti-codon) for a particular amino acid; and 'wobble' base-pairing, i.e. permitting non-standard base-pairing at the 3rd anti-codon position. Lineage: Bacteria; Pseudomonadati; Pseudomonadota; Alphaproteobacteria; Rhodobacterales; Paracoccaceae. The record is from RNAcentral.